CUGGCGGCAGGCCUAACACAUGCAAGUCGAACGGCUCUUCGGAGCAGUGGCGGACGGGUGAGUAACGCGUGGGAACGUGCCCUUUGGUUCGGAACAACACAGGGAAACUUGUGCUAAUACCGGAUGAGCCCUUCGGGGGAAAGAUUUAUCGCCAUUGGAGCGGCCCGCGUUGGAUUAGGUAGUUGGUGGGGUAAAGGCCCACCAAGCCGACGAUCCAUAGCUGGUCUGAGAGGAUGAUCAGCCACACUGGGACUGAGACACGGCCCAGACUCCUACGGGAGGCAGCAGUGGGGAAUCUUGCGCAAUGGGCGAAAGCCUGACGCAGCCAUGCCGCGUGAAUGAUGAAGGUCUUAGGAUUGUAAAAUUCUUUCACCGGGGAAGAUAAUGACGGUACCCGGAGAAGAAGCCCCGGCUAACUUCGUGCCAGCAGCCGCGGUAAUACGAAGGGGGCUAGCGUUGCUCGGAAUUACUGGGCGUAAAGGGCGCGUAGGCGGACAGUUUAGUCAGAGGUAAAAGCCCAGGGCUCAACCUUGGAACUGCCUUUGAUACUGGCUGUCUUGAGUUCGGGAGAGGUGAGUGGAAUGCCGAGUGUAGAGGUGAAAUUCGUAGAUAUUCGGCGGAACACCAGUGGCGAAGGCGACUCACUGGCCCGAUACUGACGCUGAGGCGCGAAAGCGUGGGGAGCAA
RNAcentral lists this ribosomal RNA (687 nucleotides) under uncultured Alphaproteobacteria bacterium. Its description in RNAcentral is "bacterial SSU rRNA". It matches the Rfam family "Bacterial small subunit ribosomal RNA", at positions 36 to 771 of the family's 1533-position model. Lineage: Bacteria; Pseudomonadati; Pseudomonadota; Alphaproteobacteria. The record is from RNAcentral.